UUAAGCGACUAAGCGUACACGGUGGAUGCCCUGGCAGUCAGAGGCGAUGAAGGACGUGCUAAUCUGCGAUAAGCGUCGGUGAGGUGAUAUGAACCGUUAUAACCGGCGAUUUCCGAAUGGGGAAACCCAGUGUGAUUCGUCACACUAUCAUUAACUGAAUCCAUAGGUUAAUGAGGCGAACCGGGGGAACUGAAACAUCUAAGUACCCCGAGGAAAAGAAAUCAACCGAGAUUCCCCCAGUAGCGGCGAGCGAACGGGGAGGAGCCCAGAGCCUGAAUCAGUGUGUGUGUUAGUGGAAGCGUCUGGAAAGGCGCGCGAUACAGGGUGACAGCCCCGUACACAAAAAUGCACAUAUUGUGAGCUCGAUGAGUAGGGCGGGACACGUGGUAUCCUGUCUGAAUAUGGGGGGACCAUCCUCCAAGGCUAAAUACUCCUGACUGACCGAUAGUGAACCAGUACCGUGAGGGAAAGGCGAAAAGAACCCCGGCGAGGGGAGUGAAAAAGAACCUGAAACCGUGUACGUACAAGCAGUGGGAGCCUCUUAAUGGGGUGACUGCGUACCUUUUGUAUAAUGGGUCAGCGACUUAUAUUCUGUAGCAAGGUUAACCGAAUAGGGGAGCCGAAGGGAAACCGAGUCUUAACUGGGCGUUAAGUUGCAGGGUAUAGACCCGAAACCCGGUGAUCUAGCCAUGGGCAGGUUGAAGGUUGGGUAACACUAACUGGAGGACCGAACCGACUAAUGUUGAAAAAUUAGCGGAUGACUUGUGGCUGGGGGUGAAAGGCCAAUCAAACCGGGAGAUAGCUGGUUCUCCCCGAAAGCUAUUUAGGUAGCGCCUCGUGAAUUCAUCUCCGGGGGUAGAGCACUGUUUCGGCAAGGGGGUCAUCCCGACUUACCAACCCGAUGCAAACUGCGAAUACCGGAGAAUGUUAUCACGGGAGACACACGGCGGGUGCUAACGUCCGUCGUGAAGAGGGAAACAACCCAGACCGCCAGCUAAGGUCCCAAAGUCAUGGUUAAGUGGGAAACGAUGUGGGAAGGCCCAGACAGCCAGGAUGUUGGCUUAGAAGCAGCCAUCAUUUAAAGAAAGCGUAAUAGCUCACUGGUCGAGUCGGCCUGCGCGGAAGAUGUAACGGGGCUAAACCAUGCACCGAAGCUGCGGCAGCGACACUAUGUGUUGUUGGGUAGGGGAGCGUUCUGUAAGCCUGUGAAGGUGGCCUGUGAGGGUUGCUGGAGGUAUCAGAAGUGCGAAUGCUGACAUAAGUAACGAUAAAGCGGGUGAAAAGCCCGCUCGCCGGAAGACCAAGGGUUCCUGUCCAACGUUAAUCGGGGCAGGGUGAGUCGACCCCUAAGGCGAGGCCGAAAGGCGUAGUCGAUGGGAAACAGGUUAAUAUUCCUGUACUUGGUGUUACUGCGAAGGGGGGACGGAGAAGGCUAUGUUGGCCGGGCGACGGUUGUCCCGGUUUAAGCGUGUAGGCUGGUUUUCCAGGCAAAUCCGGAAAACCAAGGCUGAGGCGUGAUGACGAGGCACUACGGUGCUGAAGCGACAAAUGCCCUGCUUCCAGGAAAAGCCUCUAAGCAUCAGGUAACAUCAAAUCGUACCCCAAACCGACACAGGUGGUCAGGUAGAGAAUACCAAGGCGCUUGAGAGAACUCGGGUGAAGGAACUAGGCAAAAUGGUGCCGUAACUUCGGGAGAAGGCACGCUGAUAUGUAGGUGAAGCGACUUGCUCGUGGAGCUGAAAUCAGUCGAAGAUACCAGCUGGCUGCAACUGUUUAUUAAAAACACAGCACUGUGCAAACACGAAAGUGGACGUAUACGGUGUGACGCCUGCCCGGUGCCGGAAGGUUAAUUGAUGGGGUUAGCGGUAACGCGAAGCUCUUGAUCGAAGCCCCGGUAAACGGCGGCCGUAACUAUAACGGUCCUAAGGUAGCGAAAUUCCUUGUCGGGUAAGUUCCGACCUGCACGAAUGGCGUAAUGAUGGCCAGGCUGUCUCCACCCGAGACUCAGUGAAAUUGAACUCGCUGUGAAGAUGCAGUGUACCCGCGGCAAGACGGAAAGACCCCGUGAACCUUUACUAUAGCUUGACACUGAACAUUGAGCCUUGAUGUGUAGGAUAGGUGGGAGGCUUUGAAGUGUGGACGCCAGUCUGCAUGGAGCCGACCUUGAAAUACCACCCUUUAAUGUUUGAUGUUCUAACGUGGGCCCCUGAUCGGGGUUGCGGACAGUGUCUGGUGGGUAGUUUGACUGGGGCGGUCUCCUCCUAAAGAGUAACGGAGGAGCACGAAGGUUGGCUAAUCCUGGUCGGACAUCAGGAGGUUAGUGCAAUGGCAUAAGCCAGCUUGACUGCGAGCGUGACGGCGCGAGCAGGUGCGAAAGCAGGUCAUAGUGAUCCGGUGGUUCUGAAUGGAAGGGCCAUCGCUCAACGGAUAAAAGGUACUCCGGGGAUAACAGGCUGAUACCGCCCAAGAGUUCAUAUCGACGGCGGUGUUUGGCACCUCGAUGUCGGCUCAUCACAUCCUGGGGCUGAAGUAGGUCCCAAGGGUAUGGCUGUUCGCCAUUUAAAGUGGUACGCGAGCUGGGUUUAGAACGUCGUGAGACAGUUCGGUCCCUAUCUGCCGUGGGCGCUGGAGAACUGAGGGGGGCUGCUCCUAGUACGAGAGGACCGGAGUGGACGCAUCACUGGUGUUCGGGUUGUCAUGCCAAUGGCACUGCCCGGUAGCUAAAUGCGGAAGAGAUAAGUGCUGAAAGCAUCUAAGCACGAAACUUGCCCCGAGAUGAGUUCUCCCUGAGACUUAGAGUCUCCUGAAGGAACGUUGAAGACGACGACGUUGAUAGGCCGGGUGUGUAAGCGCAGCGAUGCGUUGAGCUAACCGGUACUAAUGAACCGUGAGGCUUAACCUU
This 2902-nucleotide ribosomal RNA is filed under the name Escherichia coli. Its description in RNAcentral is "bacterial LSU rRNA". It matches the Rfam family "Bacterial large subunit ribosomal RNA". Lineage: Bacteria; Pseudomonadati; Pseudomonadota; Gammaproteobacteria; Enterobacterales; Enterobacteriaceae. The record is from RNAcentral.